Molecule: ribosomal RNA, 432 nt
Filed under: uncultured bacterium
Lineage: Bacteria
Description: partial 16S ribosomal RNA
Rfam family: Bacterial small subunit ribosomal RNA
Source: RNAcentral
AGCGAACGCUGGCGGCAGGCCUAACACAUGCAAGUCGAACGAACUCUUCGGAGUUAGUGGCGGACGGGUGAGUAACACGUGGGAACGUGCCUUUAGGUUCGGAAUAACUCUGGGAAACGUGUGCUAAUACCGAAUGUGCCCUUCGGGUGAAAGAUUGAUCACCUUGAUAGCGGCCUGCGUCCUAUUAGCUAGUUGGUAAUGUAAAGGCUCACCAAGGCGACGCUCAGUGGCUGGUCCUAGGGGAUGAUCAGCCACACUGGGACGGGGACCAGGCCCAAACUCCUGCGGGAGGGAGCAGUGGGGAACCUGGCGCAACGGGUGAAAGCCUGACGCAGCCAGGUCGUGUGAAUGAUUAGUGGCGUAGGAUUGUAAAAUUCUUUCACCGGGGACGAUAAUGACGUUACCAGAAGAAGAAGCCCGGGCUAAUUUCGU